Molecule: RNA transcript, 1633 nt
Organism: Octopus bimaculoides (California two-spot octopus)
Lineage: Eukaryota; Metazoa; Mollusca; Cephalopoda; Octopoda; Octopodidae
Gene name: ribose-phosphate pyrophosphokinase 1
Source: RefSeq, a predicted model, not a curated record
GAAGACGCUAAAAUUGCAACGUUUCGAUAAUAUCCGGGAAUUGCCAUUUGAUGAAUAUAUUGGUCAUCUCUAGACUCCCGGAACUUCCGGAAUAUUGUAGGAAAUAGAGAUGAUCUAAUAGCUAAAGUCUUCUGUAGCAUUAACUUUUAGACCACAACAGCGGUGCUGAAUAGUUUGGAGGCUUUUCUAAUAUAUAUGUAGUGAAGAUAAAUGUUUUGGACAAAUAUUACAGUACAGAUCAGCCAGCCAUCACUUGCAGGAGACAGCGCUUCUGUUCGGGGGGAACUGUUAAGCUACGAACCCAUUUAGAAGAGGCUGAAAUUAGAUGCCGGGCACGUCUAAACUAAAGGACAGGAAAUCAUCCAGCAGUGGUUCCGAAAUUCGAAACAUGCCGAAUAUCAAAGUCUUCAGCGGAACUUCGCAUUCCGAUCUAACCAGGAAAGUCUGCGACCGACUCGGUAUUGAUAAAGGAAAGGUUGUCACAACGAAAUUCAGCAAUGGAGAAACUUGUGUGGAGAUAGGAGAGUCUGUACGUGGUGAAGAUGUCUACAUCGUACAGAGUGGAUGCGGAGAAGUCAAUGACAUGUUGAUGGAAUUAUUAAUCAUGAUCAAUGCUUGCAAGAUUGCUUCUGCCUGUAGAGUAACUGCUGUCAUACCAUGUUUUCCAUAUGCUCGCCAAGAUAAGAAAGACAAAAGCAGGGCCCCCAUAUCUGCAAAACUUGUUGCUAACAUGCUCUCUGUUGCUGGAGCUGAUCACAUCAUCACAAUGGAUCUGCAUGCUUCUCAGAUUCAGGGAUUUUUUGAUAUACCAGUUGACAAUUUGUAUGCUGAACCUGCUGUGUUGAAAUGGAUCAAAAGUAACAUUCCUGAAUGGAGGAACUGCACAAUAGUUUCCCCUGAUGCUGGUGGUGCAAAACGUGUUACAUCCAUAGCUGAUUGGUUGAAUGUUGAUUUUGCCCUGAUUCAUAAAGAAAGGAAAAAAGCUAAUGAAGUUGCUUCAAUGGUUCUUGUUGGAGAUGUCAAAGACAAAAUUGCUAUUUUGGUAGAUGACAUGGCAGACACUUGUGGCACCAUUUGUCAUGCUGCUGGAAAGUUGCUUGAAGCUGGAGCAGUUAAGGUGUAUGCUAUUUGCACUCAUGGUAUUUUCUCUGGCCCAGCCAUUUCAAGAAUUAACAGUUCUCAGUUUGAAGCAGUUGUGGUUACUAACACAAUACCACAAGAUGAUAGGAUGAAACAAGCACCAAAAAUUCAGUGUAUUGAUAUAUCGAUGAUUUUAGCUGAGGCUGUACGGCGUACUCACAACGGAGAGUCUGUAUCUUACCUGUUUUCCAAUGUGCCAAUGUAGAUGCUGUUGCCAGUUGAUUGACACUUUUAUAAUGCAGGUUCUUAUAAAAGAAACAAAGAAUAUCUUCAAAGAAAACAUGCAUGUGUAUUGAUAUAUCAAUGAUGCUUGCCGAAGCCAUCAGGCGAACACACAAUGGCGAGUCUGUCUCCUAUUUAUUCAGCCAUGUUCCUCUCUAACUGCUGCUACCUUCUUUGCAAAAUUUAGUACCUUUUCAAAAUUACUUUUGUCAUUAUUUUCCCCUAUACCAUGUAUCAGAGCAAUACUUUUUCAUGAUUUUUUUUUUUUUUU